CUCAUCGAGCUCAUCCUCUGUGGCGAACUGGGAACAAGUCGGAGUGGUUGGGGUCCGCCGGUGGUAUUAAUUCGACUCGGAUAUCGACACCUUCAGUUAAGUCGAGAGAGAUGUCGCUGCCCAAGCCCCAGCUCCGGAACCUACUGCAGGGCGUCAUCAAGCGCAAUCUGGCGAUGACAGCCGGCGUCUGCACUGUCGCCGUCUCCUCCUACUAUUUCCUGGUGAAGCAGCCCAGGCAGCAGAAGUACGCCGAAUUCUACAAGAACUACGAUGCGGAGGCGGAGUUCGAGCGGAUGAGGAAGCUGGGCUUGUUCCAGUCUUGCUCCAAGGAUGAUUGAUCACAGAUUGUUUAUCCCUAUAUCCAUUGUGCUGGCGAGAAUGCGGUGAAUAACUGUGGCAAUGACUGGACUAGAAGACGUCAGCGCUUUCCACACGAAUAAAGCACUGUACCGACC
Pollicipes pollicipes is the source of this 455-nucleotide long non-coding RNA. RefSeq lists it as uncharacterized. The record is from RefSeq and is a predicted model, not a curated record. The transcript is spliced from 4 exons. NCBI's taxonomy places the organism in Eukaryota, Metazoa, Arthropoda, Thecostraca, Pollicipedomorpha, Pollicipedidae.